GUGUCGCUCAGUGGUAGAGCACUUGUCUGGCAUGCAAGAGGACCUGGGUUCAAUUCCCAAUAC
This 63-nucleotide transfer RNA is filed under the name Ictidomys tridecemlineatus (thirteen-lined ground squirrel). RNAcentral's name for it is "Spermophilus tridecemlineatus (thirteen-lined ground squirrel) tRNA". It matches the Rfam family "tRNA", at positions 5 to 66 of the family's 71-position model. Rfam says of the family: Transfer RNA (tRNA) molecules are approximately 80 nucleotides in length. Their secondary structure includes four short double-helical elements and three loops (D, anti-codon, and T loops). Lineage: Eukaryota; Metazoa; Chordata; Mammalia; Rodentia; Sciuridae. The record is from Rfam by way of RNAcentral.